CCGAAGUAACCUUACCUGGGUUUGACAUGUACGUGGUACGGAUCUGAAAGGUGAAGGACUUACUCUUCGGAGUGAGAGCGUACACAGGUGCUGCAUGGCUGCCGUCAGCUCGUGUCGUGAGAUGUUGGGUUAAGUCCCGCAACGAGCGCAACCCCUGCAUUCAGUUGCCAUCGGUAAGGCCGGGCACUCUGGAUGGACUGCCGGCGACAAGCCGGAGGAAGGUGGGGACGACGUCAAGUCAUCAUGGCCCUUAUGUCCAGGGCGACACACGUGCUACAAUGGCCGGCACAACGGGAAGCGAAGGGGCGACCCUGAGCGGAUCCCACAAAAGCCGGUCUCAGUUCGGAUUGCAGUCUGCAACUCGACUGCAUGAAGUUGGAAUCGCUAGUAAUCGUGGAUCAGCCAAGCCGCGGUGAAUACGUUCCCGGGCCUU
Molecule: ribosomal RNA, 433 nt
Filed under: uncultured Thermovirga sp.
Lineage: Bacteria; Thermotogati; Synergistota; Synergistia; Synergistales; Thermovirgaceae
Description: bacterial SSU rRNA
Rfam family: Bacterial small subunit ribosomal RNA
Source: RNAcentral